Molecule: long non-coding RNA, 2805 nt
Organism: Culex pipiens pallens (northern house mosquito)
Lineage: Eukaryota; Metazoa; Arthropoda; Insecta; Diptera; Culicidae
Exons: 2
Source: RefSeq, a predicted model, not a curated record
AGCGACCCUCACAUUUAUCAUUGUUUUUAUGACGGUGAAAAAAGAGUUACAUUGAAAUCCCAGGAAAACACAAAUUACAUUUAUUGUUCACAACUUCAGUUGAGAACAGAAGAAUGGUAUUUGGUGUUCUUAGAAUUUUAACCGAUGUACCUUUCUCCCACGUAACAAAAAUAAAAAUUCGUUAUUAAACAAAAGAGAAGCCACCUAGGGCACUUGAGGCCACAAAUAUUUAUGGCCAUAGGAAAUAGGGAUCACGAAGGAAAACAAACAUAACGAGAGGGACAUCCUUCCAUAUCUGAUUAGUUCAGAUGUGGAAGGUGAGAAAAAUGGAAUAAAAUAAUAAUAAUAAAACGUGAAGGAAUGCCAGUUAGAAAUAAAAACCGUGGGAGAAGGAAAACAAAAAAAAUCAAGUAGAGACCUCUAGGAGGUGAUACAAAAAUUAACGAAAAACUUGAGGGCGAAAAGCUCACAGCAAAAAGAAAGAGAGAGAAGACAAUGAAAUUAAUCGAGGCGAAUAAUAGAUUGAUAUAAAACUAGGAGUAAGAUCGGAGCUCGGGGUCAGUCCUGAAUGAUCUCGAGUUCGUUUAGAUUGUGUAUCUGAAUAGGAAUAAUAUAAUUGUCUUUAUAUUUAACUAUUCCAUGCUUACAAUUUAAAUGAAAGAAAGAUUCCAUUUCGGGCAAGGCGAUACAAGUGGUGACAAGCGGAAAAAGAAAAAAACAGGACGCCUUUUCUGACUAGUGUAAAAUCAGUGUUUUGAGAAAAAAAAAUUAAUACAGUGCCAAGAAAACGUUUGGAAAUUAUUUUUUUUGAUACAGUGCCUAGAAAAACGUUUGAAAAUUAAAAAUAAUAAUACAGUGCCAAGAAAAUAGAAGAAAAUCCGUUAGUGCCAAGAAAAGUCAAAAAAAUAUAUAUAUAUGGUGCCAAGAAGAAGAUCAUCAAUGAAAUUGCUUUGCCAAAUCUACACACCUAAGAAAAGCCUGGAAAAAGAGAGGGGAAGAGGAUUCCGCAAGCGAAAUCAGUAAGCCAUCCACCGUAAAAUUAGAUAAUCACAUUUCUUAUUUUUUUAGAUAAGCGAGAAAAAAAAAACACACACACACAAAAAAAACGGGUCUGGAACAAACCAAUGAUUAAAAGACGACUGGAGGCUACACAAUUUUUAGAUGCGAGGAUCAUCCACCAACAAACGGCAAGUAACGCAUACAUCGGAGAUCUUUGUACCAUAAACAUAUAUUUAGAUGUUAACACACAUAAAUUCGCCCCGAAAUAAGUUAGGAGAACGUUAGGAAAAUAUUUUGGAAUUUUAGAAAAACAAUUGUAACACAUUCUUAUAGAAAAGCUUAAAAAACAUAAAUGUUUACACGCCCACACAAAUUAUAACACCCACUACACAAAAAAAUUUACGAACCACAAAGCAACCAUAAACCAUGCAUACAUCGGAGAACAACGAGGAUGCCCAUCAACAAAUUUUCGCAAUCUAUUAUGUUUUGAGUCAAGAAUGGAGAGAAAUUAAUUAGACCAAGGUGUAUAAAGCUCACGACAAACAUGGACAGAAAAACGAGAAGCGAAGUAGCAAAACUCAGAAUAAUCAAACGUAACAAAGUACCAUUUGGAUCGCAAUAAGGAAACACUCACGCAAAUAUUAUCCACCACGAGAAGGAAGGAAGACAAUCGCAAUCCAUAUUACAGGAGGAAUGGUGAUAAUCUAACCAAGGAAGAACGUAUUUUUCACCCGCAACACACAAAAUGGAAAAAUAUAAUGGCAAGAGGAGACAGUAGUGACAAAUCGACAGAUAGACGGAAGGUCCUGUCAAACGCAACAUUAUGGUACUCUAUAAACAUGGAAUUAUCUGAGAUAAACAGGAAUGGCAAUAAGGAUUGGUUAACAACUGGAUUAAGUUGAGCAAUAUGCACUGGAAUCUAAUUAAUGGAUUGAAAUUCGAAACCCAAUUCAUUACACUAUUGGCGAAAAUACAAUAAUCAAGACGAAAGAGAGGACAACAACAUUGCAGAAACAACGGAGGCUAUGGUUCCAAACACAUCAAUAGUUAGAAAAAAAAAAAUAUCUACAGACAUGAUUAGGCAAUACAGAAUCUUAGGACCAGCUCUUUGCUUACAGUAGAUGAUCAUCUCUUCUAGACGAACAUCUAGCUGAUAAGUGUGGGGGUAUGUAGCGACCCUCACAUUUAUCAUUGUUUUUAUGACGGUGAAAAAAGAGUUACAUUGAAAUCCCAGGAAGACACAAAUUACAUUUAUUGUUCACAACUUCAGUUGAGAACAGAAGAAUGGUAUUUGGUGUUCUUAGAAUUUUAACCGAUGUACCUUUCUCCCACGUAACAAAAAUAAAAAUUCGUUAUUAAACAAAAGAGAAGCCACCUAGGGCACUUGAGGCCACAAAUAUUUAUGGCCAUAGGAAAUAGGGAUCACGAAGGAAAACAAACAUAACGAGAGGGACAUCCUUCCAUAUCUGAUUAGUUCAGAUGUGGAAGGUGAGAAAAAUGGAAUAAAAUAAUAAUAAUAAAACGUGAAGGAAUGCCAGUUAGAAAUAAAAACCGUGGGAGAAGGAAAACAAAAAAAAUCAAGUAGAGACCUCUAGGAGGUGAUACAAAAAUUAACGAAAAACUUGAGGGCGAAAAGCUCACAGCAAAAAGAAAGAGAGAGAAGACAAUGAAAUUAAUCGAGGCGAAUAAUAGAUUGAUAUAAAACUAGGAGUAAGAUCGGAGCUCGGGGUCAGUCCUGAAUGAUCUCGAGUUCGUUUAGAUUGUGUAUCUGAAUAGGAAUAAUAUAAUUGUCUUUAUAUUUAACUA